AUUGAACGCUGGCGGCAUGCCUUACACAUGCAAGUCGAACGGUAACAGGUCUUCGGAUGCUGACGAGUGGCGAACGGGUGAGUAAUACAUCGGAACGUGCCCGAUCGUGGGGGAUAACGGAGCGAAAGCUUUGCUAAUACCGCAUACGAUCUACGGAUGAAAGCGGGGGAUCGCAAGACCUCGCGCGAGUGGAGCGGCCGAUGUCAGAUUAGGUAGUUGGUGGGGUAAAGGCUCACCAAGCCAACGAUCUGUAGCUGGUCUGAGAGGACGACCAGCCACACUGGAACUGAGACACGGUCCAGACUCCUACGGGAGGCAGCAGUGGGGAAUUUUGGACAAUGGGCGCAAGCCUGAUCCAGCCAUUCCGCGUGCAGGAUGAAGGCCUUCGGGUUGUAAACUGCUUUUGUACGGAACGAAACGGCGAGCUCUAAUACAGUUUGCUAAUGACGGUACCGUAAGAAUAAGCACCGGCUAACUACGUGCCAGCACG
This 490-nucleotide ribosomal RNA is filed under the name uncultured bacterium. RNAcentral's name for it is "bacterial SSU rRNA". It matches the Rfam family "Bacterial small subunit ribosomal RNA", at positions 30 to 515 of the family's 1533-position model. The record is from RNAcentral.